RNAcentral lists this ribosomal RNA (301 nucleotides) under uncultured bacterium. RNAcentral's name for it is "partial 16S ribosomal RNA". It matches the Rfam family "Bacterial small subunit ribosomal RNA", at positions 509 to 807 of the family's 1533-position model. The record is from RNAcentral.
CAGUCGCCACGGGAAUACAGAGGGUGCGAGCGUUAAUCGGAUUUACUGGGCGUAAAGCGUGCGUAGGCGGCUUCUUAAGUCGGAUGUGAAAUCCCUGAGCUUAACUUAGGAAUUGCAUUCGAUACUGGGAAGCUAGAGUAUGGGAGAGGAUGGUAGAAUUCCAGGUGUAGCGGUGAAAUGCGUAGAGAUCUGGAGGAAUACCGAUGGCGAAGGCAGCCAUCUGGCCUAAUACUGACGCUGAGGUACGAAAGCAUGGGGAGCAAACAGGAUUAGAUACCCCAGUAGUCCCUGUCUCUUAUAC